This is a small nucleolar RNA of Perognathus longimembris pacificus (Pacific pocket mouse), 105 nucleotides long. RefSeq annotates it as small nucleolar RNA U13. Lineage: Eukaryota; Metazoa; Chordata; Mammalia; Rodentia; Heteromyidae. The record is from RefSeq and is a predicted model, not a curated record. The transcript has a single exon.
ACCCUUUUCCAGUUCAUAAGCGUGAUGAUUGUGUUCUCACACACUUGAGUGACAUGUGCCUCCCUAUAAACCUUGUUACAACAUGGGUACAUUACCCAUCUGAUG